GAAUGUUUCUCCGGCUCUUGUCAGAACACUAGGGAGCCAGGUCCGGAGAGUAGGAGGGAAGAGACACAUUUAUGCCUGUCCUCGAGGCAUAAUAUGUGUAAAAAUGCCAGACAGAGCAUAUGUCUCUCGCCCAAAUAUCCAAAGGCUUCCUAUCGCAAAGUAAAAAAAAAAAAAGGUGACCUUUGAGCAAGGACCUAAAAUAGAAAACAGGCAAGUAACCAGAAUUACUAUCAUAGAAGUCACCACAUUGGAGAGGGACCUAACCUGAGCUUCCUGGAUUAAAGGAUGAAUAGGAGUUGACCAGAUAAAAAGGAAGAGAGAGAACUUCCACACCAGGCAGAGGGAGCAGCUUGUACAAAGGAAGAUUAGCGCUGAGCUAACAUCCGUUGCCAAUCCUCCCCUUUUUGCUGAGGAAGACUGGCCCUGAGCUCACAUCCGUGCCCAUCUUCCUCCACUUUAUAUGUGGGACGCCUACCACAGCAUGGCUUGCCAAGCAGUGCCAUGUCCGCACCUGGGAUCUGAACCAGCGAACCCCGGGCCGCCCAAGUGAAACAUGCCCACUUAACCACUGUGCCACGAGGCCAAACCCCAGUUAUUUCUUGUAUUCUCACACAAUUUUUCCUCCCAAAAAUCUAUUUGCUUUUCUUGGCUCCCUUAACUAAACCAAUCAUUAAUAUAUAUCAAAACAACACUUUAAAUAACCAACACCGGUUCCUUUAGUAUAUUUGAAACAAUGUAUAAUUUUAUAACAUUCCAG
This 757-nucleotide long non-coding RNA is filed under the name Equus caballus (horse). Its description in RNAcentral is "lncRNA (ENSECAG00000045667.1)". The record is from RNAcentral. Lineage: Eukaryota; Metazoa; Chordata; Mammalia; Perissodactyla; Equidae.